GAUGAACGCUGGCGGCGUGCCUAAUACAUGCAAGUCGAGCGAACGGACGAGAAGCUUGCUUCUCUGAUGUUAGCGGCGGACUGGUUAGUAACACGUGGAUAACCUACCUAUAAGACUGGGAUAACUUCGGGAAACCGGAGCUAAUACCGGAUAAUAUUUUGAACCGCAUGGUUCAAAAGUGAAAUACGGUCUUGCUGUCACUUAUAGAUGGAUCCGCGCUGCAUUAGCUAGUUGGUAAGGUAACGGCUUACCAAGGCAACGAUGCAUAGCCGACCUGAGAGGGUGAUAGGCCACACUGGAACUGAGACACGGUCCAGACUCCUACGGGAGGCAGCAGUAGGGAAUCUUCCGCAAUGGGAGAAAGCCUGACGGAGCAACGCCGCGUGAGUGAUGAAGGUCUUCGGAUCGUAAAACUCUGUUAUUAGGGAAGAACAUAUGUGUAAGUAACUGUGCACAUCUUGACGGUACCUAAUCAGAAAGCCACGGCUAACUACGUG
This 497-nucleotide ribosomal RNA is filed under the name uncultured bacterium. Its description in RNAcentral is "partial 16S ribosomal RNA". It matches the Rfam family "Bacterial small subunit ribosomal RNA", at positions 28 to 507 of the family's 1533-position model. The record is from RNAcentral.